RNAcentral lists this long non-coding RNA (1829 nucleotides) under Coturnix japonica (Japanese quail). Its description in RNAcentral is "lncRNA (ENSCJPG00005006753.1)". Lineage: Eukaryota; Metazoa; Chordata; Aves; Galliformes; Phasianidae. The record is from RNAcentral.
GGGUCCUGGGGGGAUCCUUGGGGUCUUGAGAGGAUACUGGGGGUCCUAAGAGGAUCCUAGGGGGGAUAUGGGGGAGAGAUGGGGGUGCUGGGGGUCCUGAGAGGGUCCUUGGGGGGAAAUGGGGGUCCUGGGGGCCAUUGGCAUCGCCAACUUCGCCGAGCAGAUCGGGUGCACCGAGCUGCACCAGAGAGCCAGGGAGUACAUCUACAUGCACUUUGCUGAGGUUAGAGGGGAGAAAUGGGGGGGAAAUGGGGGUCCUAAGAGGGUCCUGGGGGGGUCCUUGGGGUCCUAAGAGGGUCCUGGGGGUCCUAAGAGGGUCCUGGGGGGGAGAUGAGGGUCCUUGGGGUCCUGAGAGGGGCCUGGGGGGGAAAUGGGGAUCCUGGGGGCCAUGGGGAUGCCAGCAUUGCAGAGCAGAUCAGAUGCACCGAGCCAGGGAGUACAUCUACAUGCACUUUGCUGAGGUUAGAGGGGAAAUAGGGGGGAAAUGGGGGUCCUAAGAGGGUCCUGGGGUCCUAGGAGGGCCCUGGGGGGAGAAAUGGGGGGGAGAUUGGGGUCCUGGGGGUCCUAAGAGGGUCCUGGGGGGGAAAUGGGGGUCCUGGGGGCCAUCGGCAUCGCCAACUUCGCCGAGCAGAUCGGAUGCACCGAGCUGCACCAGAGAGCCAGGGAGUACAUCUACAUGCACUUUGCUGAGGUUAGAGGGGAGAUAGGGGGGAAUUCAGGGUUGCAUCCCCCAUGCAUCACUGCAUUCUCAUGCAUCGCUGCCAUCCCCCAUGCAGGGUCAUAAUCCCCAUGCAUUGCUGCAUCCCCCAUGCAUCGCUGCAUCCCCACGCGUUGCUGCAUCCCCCGUGCAUCGCUGCAUUCCCACGCAUCACUGCACCCUCGUGCAUUGCUGCCAUCCCCCAUGCAGGGUCACAGCCCCCAUGCAGUGCUGCAGUCCCCAUGCAUUGCUGCAUCCCCCAUGCAGGGUCAUAGUCCCCAUGCAGGGUUGCAGCCCCCACGCAGUGUUGCAUCCCCAUGCAUCACUGCAUCCCCCAUGCAGGGUCUCAGUCCUCAUGCAUCGCUGCAUCCCCCAUGCAGUGCUACCAUCCCCAUGCAUCGCUGCAUCCCCCAUGCAGGGUCGCAGCCCCCAUGCAUUGCUGCAUCCCCAUGCAUUGCUGCAUCCCCCAUGCAGGGUCAUAGUCCCCAUGCAUCGCUGCAUCCCCCAUGCAUCGCUGCAUCCCCAUGCAUCGCUGCAUCCCCCAUGCAGGGUCAUAGUCCCCAUGCAGGGUCGCAGCCCCCAUGCAUUGCUGCAUCCCCACGCAUCACUGCAUCCCCCAUGCAUCGCUGCAUCCCCCAUGCAGGGUGAUAGUCCCCAUGCAGUGCUACCAUCCCCAUGCAUUGCUGCAUCCCCCAUGCAGGGUCAUAGUCCCCAUGCAUCGCUGCAUCCCCCAUGCAGGGUCGCAGUCCCCAUGCAUCGCUGCAUCCCCCAUGCAUUGCUGCCAUCCCCCAUGCAGGGUUGCAGCCCCCAUGCAUUGCUGCCAUCCCCCAUGCAGGGUUGCAGCCCCCAUGCAUUGCUGCCAUCCCCCAUGCAGGGUCAUAGUCCCCAUGCAUUGCUGCAUCCAUCAUGCAGGGCCAUAGUCCCCAUGCAUUGCUGCCACCCCCCAUGCAGGGCUGCGUCCCCCACGCAUUGCUGCAUCCCCCGUGCAGGGUUGCAGUCCCCAUGCAAGGUUGCAGUCUCCAAAUAGGGUUGCAGUCCCCAUGCAUCACUGCAUCCCCCAUGCAGGGUCAUAGUCCCCAUGCAGUGCUGCAACCCCAUGCACCGCUGCACCUCCCAUGCAUCGCUGCCCCCC